RNAcentral lists this small nuclear RNA (65 nucleotides) under Rhinolophus ferrumequinum (greater horseshoe bat). RNAcentral describes it as "U2 spliceosomal RNA (ENSRFEG00010000158.1)". The record is from Rfam by way of RNAcentral. Lineage: Eukaryota; Metazoa; Chordata; Mammalia; Chiroptera; Rhinolophidae.
AUCGCUUCUCGGCCUUUUGGCUAAGAUCAAGUGUAGAAGUAUAGCUAUUUAAAUAAAUACCCUUC